Molecule: long non-coding RNA, 274 nt
Filed under: Arabidopsis lyrata
Lineage: Eukaryota; Viridiplantae; Streptophyta; Magnoliopsida; Brassicales; Brassicaceae
Description: long non-coding RNA (ALYR_LNC001966)
Source: RNAcentral
AAAAGGUUUACGCUUGCAACACGGUUACACUAACGCAAUCGACAGUUCGACACGAUAUCCCAAAACGACGACCAAAGACUCCAUGAAUGGCGGUGAGGGAUUCGAGUGUCAGUGGCUUUGCCGGUGAACGGCGUUGUUGGCUUCGUCGUUUAACAUUGUUGAUGGAUUUGCCGGUGAAACCAUAAGAUUGAGAGAGAUCGACAGUGAGAGAUUUGACGCCGAGAGAGAUCGAUGGUUAAGCGAUUUAAGAAAAUUAUGUUUGUUUCGGUUUACU